This 345-nucleotide long non-coding RNA is filed under the name Brassica rapa (field mustard). RNAcentral describes it as "long non-coding RNA (BRAP_LNC001607)". The record is from RNAcentral. Lineage: Eukaryota; Viridiplantae; Streptophyta; Magnoliopsida; Brassicales; Brassicaceae.
UUUUAUCCUCUUUCACCAUUCAAACAUAUGUUUUGAACCGUUAGAUCCGCUUGAUCCACACUUGUACCACUCGAUACGCUUGAUUCACUCUUAUUCUACUCGAUCCGCUAGAUCCGCUAGAACCGCAACGCUUGAUCCUCUUUCUCCAUUCGGAGCUAGAUCCGGUAGAACCGCAACGCUUGAUCCGCUUUCUCCAUUCGGAGCCUAAUGGCUCGUUGUGACACUAUCUACAGUUUUAUACAUAUAUACAUACAUAUAUGUUGAUUUUAACAAAAAAUACAAUUACUAAAAAAAAAACCAUGUCUCCCAUCAGCAUAUUAAUCAAUUACCGAUAUUGAAUCAAGA